GACGAACGCUGGCGGCGUGCUUAACACAUGCAAGUCGAACGGAAAGGCCCUGCUUUUGUGGGGUGCUCGAGUGGCGAACGGGUGUGUAACACGUGAGUAACCUGCCCUUGACUUUGGGAUAACUUCAGGAAACUGGGGCUAAUACCGGAGAGGAGCUCCUGCUGCAUGGUGGGGGUUGGAAAGUUUCGGCGGUUGGGGAUGGACUCGCGGCUUAUCAGCUGGUUGGUGGGGUAGGGGCUUACCAAGGCUUGGACGGGUAGCCGGCCUGAGAGGGGGACCGGCCACAUUGGGACUGAGAUAGGGCCCAGACUCCUACGGGAGGCAGCAGUGGGGAAUAUGGCACAAUGGGCGGAAGCCGGAUGCAGCAACGCCGCGUGCGGGAGGACGGCUUUCGGUUGGUAAACCGCUUUGGCAGGUGACGAAGCGUGAGUGACGGUACUGGGUAAAGAAGCACCGGCUAACUACGUG
Molecule: ribosomal RNA, 468 nt
Filed under: uncultured bacterium
Lineage: Bacteria
Description: partial 16S ribosomal RNA
Rfam family: Bacterial small subunit ribosomal RNA
Source: RNAcentral